This 231-nucleotide long non-coding RNA is filed under the name Medicago truncatula (barrel medic). Its description in RNAcentral is "lncRNA gene17913". Lineage: Eukaryota; Viridiplantae; Streptophyta; Magnoliopsida; Fabales; Fabaceae. The record is from RNAcentral.
UCCUCACCUUACAAGCCGGUUUUGUAAGGAUGAGUUAGGCUCCAAAUUUCAACAUGGUAUCAGAGCUUGUCGAAUUCAAGGGCCACCUAAACCUAUUCACGCACCAAGCCCAAAGAGUGCUGGGCGUGAGGGGGGUGUAUUGGGAAAAAUCCAAGUCCCACAUCAGAUAGACAAGAAUCUUAAGAAGAGUUUAUAAAGAGGAGACAAUCCUCACCUUACAAGCCAGUUUUG